UCAACCUUGAGAAGCCUAGGAGGAGAGGUCUGGCCAAGCCUUUCUCCUGGGAUAUACCCAUCUCUUUCCUUUUCUGGCAACUGGACAUUCUCCCCACCCCCCCUCCAAUUCCCAAAUGAAGGAACAUCUGAAGAAGACAUUUAAGCAUCUGUAAAAACUUUACCUCACAGCUCCUGGUGCCCUGGUGGCCAGGGGCCAAAGACCAGGAAAUUGAACAACAGUGGACACAGUUGUUUUCCUUGGAUCUUUCAAUGAGGGGCAGGUUUCUCCAAUCCGAGUCUAUCUUCAUGGAUGUCAGUGAACCAUGAAUCACAAGAUAAUAUGCUAGUUGAUUUUGCUGAACCAUCGUUUGCUUGUUUGUGAGACAUCAGGAGACAGUUCUAGUCACUGGGGAGAGUCCAUACUCAAGCUUACCCCUACAGUUCGUUCAUCUCCAUUAAGCACAAGUGACUUCAGAGCAUCCACUAAUGAGUAGCCUGGAAGAAAUUAUUUGAAGCACAAAAUGAAAUCUUCAGUUUAAUGUAAGAAGGAUCUUUACUUUUCUUCUCAUAAAUAUUUAGCCUUUACAUAUACAUUAUAGUUUACAGAAUGCUCUUAUUACAGGAACCUUGUGAGGUAGAAAGUAAGGGCAUUAUUCCCAUCUACGAAAUAUGAAAACUGAGAUUCCAAGAGACUGUGCCUUUCUAUGAGUCACAUAGCCAGUAAGGGUCAGAGUCAAGAUUCCAACACAUCUCUUUGAACUCUAGAUUCUGUCAAUGAACAUUCUA
This is a long non-coding RNA of Monodelphis domestica (gray short-tailed opossum), 767 nucleotides long. RefSeq lists it as uncharacterized. Lineage: Eukaryota; Metazoa; Chordata; Mammalia; Didelphimorphia; Didelphidae. The record is from RefSeq and is a predicted model, not a curated record.